Macaca mulatta (Rhesus monkey) is the source of this 147-nucleotide unclassified non-coding RNA. It matches the Rfam family "Metazoan signal recognition particle RNA". From Rfam's summary of the family: The signal recognition particle (SRP) is a universally conserved ribonucleoprotein. It is involved in the co-translational targeting of proteins to membranes. The eukaryotic SRP consists of a 300-nucleotide 7S RNA and six proteins: SRPs 72, 68, 54, 19, 14, and 9. The record is from Ensembl. Lineage: Eukaryota; Metazoa; Chordata; Mammalia; Primates; Cercopithecidae.
GCUGGGUGUGGUGGCGCGUGCCUGUAAUCCCAGCUACUCGGAGGCUGAGGCAGGAGAAUCGCUUGAACCCAGGAGGCAGAGCUUGCAGUGAGCCGAGAUCGCGCCACUGCACUCCAGCCUGGGUGACAGAGCGAGACUCCAUCUCCA